Molecule: ribosomal RNA, 491 nt
Filed under: uncultured bacterium
Lineage: Bacteria
Description: partial 16S ribosomal RNA
Rfam family: Bacterial small subunit ribosomal RNA
Source: RNAcentral
AUUGAACGCUGGCGGCAGGCUUAACACAUGCAAGUCGAGCGGUAACAGAGAGAAGCUUGCUUCUCUGCUGACGAGCGGCGGACGGGUGAGUAAUGCCUAGGAAUCUGCCUAGUAGUGGGGUAUAACUUGCCGAAAGGUAAGCUAAUACCGCAUACGUCCUACGGGAGAAAGGAGGGGACCUUCGGGCCUUUCGCUAUUAGAUGAGCCUAGGUCGGAUUAGUUAGUUGGUGAGGUAAUGGCUCACCAAGACCGCGAUCCGUAACUGGUCUGAGAGGAUGAUCAGUCACACUGGAACUGAGACACGGUCCAGACUCCUACGGGAGGCAGCAGUGGGGAAUAUUGGACAAUGGGGGGGAACCCUGAUCCAGCCAUGCCGCGUGUGUGAAGAAGGUCUUAGGAUUGUAAAACACUUUAAGUUGGGAGGAAGAGCAGUUAACUAAUAUUUGACUGUUUUGACGUUACCGACAGAAUAAGCACCGGCUAACUUCGUG